AACUUUCAAUUGGUGCUGACAUGC
This 24-nucleotide non-coding RNA is filed under the name Gossypium hirsutum (cotton). The record is from RNAcentral. Lineage: Eukaryota; Viridiplantae; Streptophyta; Magnoliopsida; Malvales; Malvaceae.